RNAcentral lists this ribosomal RNA (569 nucleotides) under Mycobacterium sp. Ri3Pw_6255. RNAcentral's name for it is "bacterial SSU rRNA". It matches the Rfam family "Bacterial small subunit ribosomal RNA", at positions 444 to 1022 of the family's 1533-position model. The record is from RNAcentral. Lineage: Bacteria; Bacillati; Actinomycetota; Actinomycetes; Mycobacteriales; Mycobacteriaceae.
GACGAAGCGCAAGUGACGGUUUGUGCAUAAGAAGGACCGGCCAACUACGUGCCAGCAGCCGCGGUAAUACGUAGGGUUCGAGCGUUGUCCGGAAUUUCUGGGCGUAAAGAGCUCGUAGGUGGUUUGUCGCGUUGUUCGUGAAAACUCACAGCUCAACUGUGGGCGUGCGGGCGAUACGGGCAGACUAGAGUACUGCAGGGGAGACUGGAAUUCCUGGUGUAGCGGUGGAAUGCGCAGAUUUCAGGAGGAACACCGGUGGCGAAGGCGGGUCUCUGGGCAGUAACUGACGCUGAGGAGCGAAAGCGUGGGGAGCGAACAGGAUUAGAUACCCUGGUAGUCCACGCCGUAAACGGUGGGUACUAGGUGUGGGUUUCCUUCCUUGGGAUCCGUGCCGUAGCUAACGCAUUAAGUACCCCGCCUGGGGAGUACGGCCGCAAGGCUAAAACUCAAAGAAAUUGACGGGGGCCCGCACAAGCGGCGGAGCAUGUGGAUUAAUUCGAUGCAACGCGAAGAACCUUACCUGGGUUUGACAUGCACAGGACGUGCCUAGAGAUAGGUAUUCCCUUGUG